UACGGAGGAUCCAAGCGUUAUCCGGAAUCAUUGGGUUUAAAGGGUCCGUAGGCGGUUUAAUAAGUCAGUGGUGAAAGCCCAUCGCUCAACGGUGGAACGGCCAUUGAUACUGUUUAAACUUGAAUUAUUUAGGAAGUAACUAGAAUAUGUAGUGUAGCGGUGAAAAUGCUUUAGAGAUUACAUGGAAUACCAAUUGCGAAGGCAGGUUUACUACUAAUGGGAUUGACGUGAUGGACGAAAAGCGUGGGGAUCAAACAGG
Molecule: ribosomal RNA, 259 nt
Filed under: uncultured bacterium
Lineage: Bacteria
Description: partial 16S ribosomal RNA
Rfam family: Bacterial small subunit ribosomal RNA
Source: RNAcentral